AGUAAGGUGGCUGAAAAUAAGCUUUAGUCUGUAAAACUAAUUAUGGAAUAAUCUUCCCCUUUCU
RNAcentral lists this transfer RNA (64 nucleotides) under Chaetopterus variopedatus. RNAcentral's name for it is "tRNA-Tyr". Lineage: Eukaryota; Metazoa; Annelida; Polychaeta; Chaetopteridae. The record is from RNAcentral.